UAUUUUUCUGUUAUGUUAGCCCCUCGAACUACCCAAUACCGUUCAUAAACUGUGUUAGGUGGGUUCGCUCAAUUAUUUUAUGACGUGGAUAUAGUCAAAGCGGUAUUUGACCAAUGGGCCUCCUCGUCCGGUGGUUUAUCAUUGCUGCCAGCGUCUCCUCUCUGCCACGUGAUGCACUCACCUUGCAGUCCCGCUGCCAGGAACCUCCGCCGUGCGUGCCUAAUCGAAUUGCUGCGCCUCCUCCCCCUCUUGCCUUCCCUCCCAUCCUCCCCGCUGCUUCCCCAUCCGACGACCUCGUGGUCGCACUCAACGGCGGCCGACGACUUUGAAGCUUCCGGGGGCUGUAGCUAUAGCGCGAUAUCGAGCAAAAGAAGAGAGUGGGAAUGAUCAGUAGCCCACAGCGGUUGUUCCAGCGCAAACGGAGAGGCCGGGGAAGCACAAUAGGCGGCGAAUUUGGCAAUGGAGUCCGGCGGCCGUAGUCGGGGAAGACGACCCGGUUCGCACGGCUCUGGGAAGCCGGAGUCUAUUCCUUCGCCUGGGAUGUCGAGGGUGACAAGGUGGAUCUCUGCGGCGCAUUGGUUUGGCGAGGGGUGGUCGUUGGACCCGAAGACGACACCAACGUCCAUGGUGCUCUCGGGGAUUUUUGGAUCGCGAGAAAGAGGGGAAUGGCCACAUGGGAGAGGGGUAGGCAGGCAAGAAGCUCGGAUGUUCAAUAUCCCCUCCUCCUCCUCGUCUGCUCCAUUGGAACUGCGGUGAGGCUAGAGGAGCUCAUGGGCAUCGAGUUCGACGGCAAGACAACUGUGGGUGGCGGAGCUUGGACAAGCGGGGGGAGGUCCUCGAGGACGCGCGGCUCCAAAUGGAUGGGUUGUUCAGCUUGAGGUGAGCAGCACGGUGCUCGGGAAGCAGAUGAGGAUAAGUGGUGGUCGCCGGAGGAAGAGAUCGAGGCGGCGGCGCUGUCGACGUACAGGAGGAGAUAGGGGCUGCGGCUGACGAAAGGGCCAUGUUGGUCAAAUACAGCUUUGACCUCAUCCAGGCGCCGGAGGCAAUCUCCGUUUGGGAUUAAAUUGGUCAACCAAGAUUUGGUCAAAGAAGAUCGUGGGUGCCUCCCUCUUUUUAUUUUCUGAGUCAUGGGUGUCAUCCUCCUUGCAAAUUUGUAUGAUGGCUGAAGCAAUGAUUGAUGUGUGCUAAUCUUCGUACUGAAACUAAUACCCCUAAUAAUAUGGGAAGGAGGGAGUACAACCUUUUGCGUUUGUGUGUGAA
Aegilops tauschii subsp. strangulata is the source of this 1260-nucleotide long non-coding RNA. RefSeq lists it as uncharacterized. NCBI's taxonomy places the organism in Eukaryota, Viridiplantae, Streptophyta, Magnoliopsida, Poales, Poaceae. The record is from RefSeq and is a predicted model, not a curated record.